This 512-nucleotide ribosomal RNA is filed under the name uncultured bacterium. RNAcentral describes it as "bacterial SSU rRNA". It matches the Rfam family "Bacterial small subunit ribosomal RNA", at positions 18 to 518 of the family's 1533-position model. The record is from RNAcentral.
CUGGCGUCAGGAUGAACGCUAGCUACAGGCUUAACACAUGCAAGGUCGAGGGGCAGCAUGACGAUAGCUUGCUAUGUUGAUGGCGACCGGCGCACGGGUGAGUAACGCGUAUCCAACCUUCCCCUUAGUAGGGCAUAGCCCGGCGAAAGUCGGAUUAAUACCCUAUGUUAUUCGUCGAGGACAUCUGAAAUGAAUCAAAGGUUUACCGCUAAGGGAUGGGGAUGCGUCUGAUUAGGUAGUAGGCGGGGUAACGGCCCACCUAGCCGACGAUCAGUAGGGGUUCUGAGAGGAAGGUCCCCCACAUUGGAACUGAGACACGGUCCAAACUCCUACGGGAGGCAGCAGUGAGGAAUAUUGGUCAAUGGGCGCGAGCCUGAACCAGCCAAGUAGCGUGCAAGGAUGACGGCCCUAUGGGUUGUAAACUGCUUUUAUGCGGGGAUAAAGUGCGGCACGUGUGCCGUUUUGUAGGUACCGCAUGAAUAAGGACCGGCUAAUUCCGUGCCAGCCGCUGC